RNAcentral lists this ribosomal RNA (253 nucleotides) under uncultured bacterium. RNAcentral's name for it is "partial 16S ribosomal RNA". It matches the Rfam family "Bacterial small subunit ribosomal RNA", at positions 524 to 776 of the family's 1533-position model. The record is from RNAcentral.
GACGUAGGGCGCGAGCGUUGUCCGGAUUUAUUGGGCGUAAAGAGCUCGUAGGCGGCUUGUCGCGUCGUCCGUGAAAACCAGGGGCUCAACCCCUGGCUUGCGGUCGAUACGGGCAGGCUAGAGUUCGGUAGGGGAGACUGGAAUUCCUGGUGUAGCGGUGAAAUGCGCAGAUAUCAGGAGGAACACCGAUGGCGAAGGCAGGUCUCUGGGCAUUAACUGACGCUGAGGAGCGAAAGCAUGGGGAGCGAACAGG